UACGAAGGGGGGCUAGCGCUGCUCGGAAUUACUGGGCGUAAAGGGCGCGUAGGCGGCACUGUUAGUCAGGCGUGAAAGUCCUGGGCUCAACCUGGGAACUGCGCUUGAUACGGCAGAGCUAGAGGAUGGAAGAGGCUCGCGGAAUUCCCAGUGUAGAGGUGAAAUUCGUAGAUAUUGGGAAGAACACCGGUGGCGAAGGCGGCGAGCUGGUCCAUUACUGACGCUGAGGCGCGACAGCGUGGGGAGCAAACAGG
Molecule: ribosomal RNA, 254 nt
Filed under: uncultured bacterium
Lineage: Bacteria
Description: partial 16S ribosomal RNA
Rfam family: Bacterial small subunit ribosomal RNA
Source: RNAcentral